CCUACGGGAGGCAGCAGUAGGGAAUAUUUGACAAUGGCCGUAAGGCUGAACGAGCAAAGUCGCGUGAAGGAAGAAGGAUCUAUGGUUUGUAAACUUCGUUUAUAGGGGAAUAAAGGUAUCCACGUGUGGAUAUUUGCAUGUACCCUAUGAAUAAACAUCGGCUCACUCCGUGCCAGCAGACGCGGUAAUACGGAGGAUGGGAGGGUUAUCCGGAUUUAUUGGGUUUAAAGGGUGCGUAGGUUGUUUUUUAAGUCAGCGGUGAAAGUUUGUGGCUUAACCAUAAAAUUGCCGUUGAAACUGGAAGACUUGAGUGUGUUUGAGGUAGGCGGAAUGCGUGGUGUAGCGGUGAAAGGCAUAGAUAUCACGCAGAACUCCGAUUGCGAAGGCAGCUUACUAAUCCAUAACUGACACUGAAGUACGAAAGCGUGGGGAUCAAACAGGAUUAGAUACCCCUGUAGUC
This 460-nucleotide ribosomal RNA is filed under the name uncultured bacterium. Its description in RNAcentral is "partial 16S ribosomal RNA". It matches the Rfam family "Bacterial small subunit ribosomal RNA", at positions 338 to 795 of the family's 1533-position model. The record is from RNAcentral.